CAGCCGUAAACUAUGCGCGUUAGGUGUAUCGGUGACCACGAGUUACCGAGGUGCCGAAGGGAAACCGUGAAACGUGCCGCCUGGGAAGUACGGUCGCAAGGCUGAAACUUCAAGGAAUUGGCGGGGGAGCACCACAACAGGUGGAGCCUGCGGUUUAAUUGGAUUCAACGCCGAAAAACUCACCAGCAGCGACUGUUACAUGAAAGUCAGGUUGAUGACCUUACUAGAUUUUCAGAGAGGAGGUGCAUGGCGUCAGUGACU
This 261-nucleotide ribosomal RNA is filed under the name uncultured archaeon. RNAcentral's name for it is "partial 16S ribosomal RNA". It matches the Rfam family "Archaeal small subunit ribosomal RNA", at positions 748 to 1008 of the family's 1478-position model. The record is from RNAcentral.